RNAcentral lists this long non-coding RNA (648 nucleotides) under Sus scrofa (pig). Its description in RNAcentral is "lncRNA (ENSSSCG00030026703.1)". The record is from RNAcentral. Lineage: Eukaryota; Metazoa; Chordata; Mammalia; Artiodactyla; Suidae.
CUUAAUUCUGAGGGAGGAGUGUUUCAGAGGAUCCUGGAGCACAGGUGACCGGCUCUCUCCCACUGAAGCUGCUGGUGAAGACAAACCAGCGACAAGACCCGGUCAGAGGGGCUGGCGCUGCCCCACGCCCCUCUGCCAGCUGACGCCUCCUGCUAAAAACAGCGGGGCCCGGGGGGACUAUGGGCUUUCAGGCUUCCCCCUCCACGCCAGGACAGGUAUUAAAGAGGCCGACGCCCAGCCAGGCCGACUGGACACCAUGCUCUUCACCGAGACGGCCCACUUCGUGGUGAAUUUUCUUCUGUACCGGCGCCCCCGGGCCACUCUCCCGUACCGCCUGGACCAGGAGUUGUGUUUCUGGGGCUGCCGGGGCCCGGCCUUGCCGCCUGUCGCCACCCGCAGCAGCCUGGGCGAUUACUGGCUGAGCCCGCAGCGCCGGCGCCCACCGGGCGCCACCUGGCGCUGGCCCGCUCGCAAUAUGCUGCUACUGCCAGGGGCCACCGGGCUGGCGGAUAUACCCUCGGCGCGCUGGCCCAGCUGCUACGGCGUUCGCCCGCGCCUCACGUGGAAGCACCGGUGGCAGAAUAUUAACUACCAGUAUCUGGGCAAGAGGAAGAGACAUCUAGUUCCUCUGCGCCCGUGAGAGCCGGU